GUGCUCGUAGUUCAACGGUAGAGCGCAGCCUUGUGGUGGCUGAUGUUGCGGGUUCGAAUCCCGUCGGGCACCCCA
Molecule: transfer RNA, 75 nt
Filed under: Actinomycetes bacterium
Lineage: Bacteria; Bacillati; Actinomycetota; Actinomycetes
Description: Actinobacteria bacterium tRNA-His
Rfam family: tRNA
About the family: Transfer RNA (tRNA) molecules are approximately 80 nucleotides in length. Their secondary structure includes four short double-helical elements and three loops (D, anti-codon, and T loops).
Source: RNAcentral